GGCUAACUCCGUGCCAGCAGCCGCGGUAAUACGGAGGGUGCAAGUGUUAAUCGGAAUUACUGGGCGUAAAGCGCACGCAGGCGGUCUGUCAAGUCGGAUGUGAAAUCCCCGGGCUCAACCUGGGAACUGCAUUCGAAACUGGCAGGCUUGAGUCUUGUAGAGGGGGGUAGAAUUCCAGGUGUAGCGGUGAAAUGCGUAGAGAUCUGGAGGAAUACCGGUGGCGAAGGCGGCCCCCUGGACAAAGACUGACGCUCAGGUGCGAAAGCGUGGGGAGCAAACAGGAUUAGAUACCCUGGUAGUCCACGCCGUAAACGAUGUCUACUUGGAGGUUGUGCCCUUGAGGCGUGGCUUCCGGAGCUAACGCGUUAAGUAGACCGCCUGGGGAGUACGGCCGCAAGGUUAAAACUCAAAUGAAUUGACGGGGGCCCGCACAAGCGGUGGAGCAUGUGGUUUAAUUCGAUGCAACGCGAAGAACCUUACCUGGUCUUGACAUCCACGGAAGUUUUCAGAGAUGAGAAUGUGCCUUCGGGAACCGUGAGACAGGUGCUGC
RNAcentral lists this ribosomal RNA (550 nucleotides) under Salmonella enterica subsp. enterica serovar Paratyphi B. Its description in RNAcentral is "partial 16S ribosomal RNA". It matches the Rfam family "Bacterial small subunit ribosomal RNA", at positions 495 to 1044 of the family's 1533-position model. RNAcentral also lists the same sequence under 1 other name. Lineage: Bacteria; Pseudomonadati; Pseudomonadota; Gammaproteobacteria; Enterobacterales; Enterobacteriaceae. The record is from RNAcentral.